Molecule: non-coding RNA, 70 nt
Organism: Megalops atlanticus (tarpon)
Lineage: Eukaryota; Metazoa; Chordata; Actinopteri; Elopiformes; Megalopidae
Source: the annotation of a GenBank genome assembly
GGCAGUGUAGCAUAGUGGUAUGGAGAAGGGCCCCCAACCGUAAGUUUGCAGGUUCGAUUCCCCACUGGGG